RNAcentral lists this ribosomal RNA (250 nucleotides) under uncultured bacterium. Its description in RNAcentral is "partial 16S ribosomal RNA". It matches the Rfam family "Bacterial small subunit ribosomal RNA", at positions 525 to 774 of the family's 1533-position model. The record is from RNAcentral.
ACAGAGGGUGCGAACGUUGUUCGGAAUUACUGGGCGUAAAGCGCGUGUAGGCGGCUAUGCAAGUCGGGUGUGAAAGCCCUGGGCUCAACCGAGGAAGUGCACUCGAAACUGCAUAGCUCGAGUUCCGGAGAGGAUGGUGGAAUUCUCGGUGUAGAGGUGAAAUUCGUAGAUAUCGAGAGGAACACCGGUGGCGAAGGCGGCCAUCUGGACGGAAACUGACGCUGAGACGCGAAAGCGUGGGUAGCAAACA